RNAcentral lists this ribosomal RNA (301 nucleotides) under uncultured bacterium. RNAcentral's name for it is "partial 16S ribosomal RNA". It matches the Rfam family "Bacterial small subunit ribosomal RNA", at positions 511 to 809 of the family's 1533-position model. The record is from RNAcentral.
CUCGCCACGGUAACACCGAGGGUGCGAGCGUUAAUCGGAUUUACUGGGCGUAAAGCGUGCGUAGGCGGCUUCUUAAGUCGGAUGUGAAAUCCCUGAGCUUAACUUAGGAAUUGCAUUCGAUACUGGGAAGCUAGAGUAUGGGAGAGGAUGGUAGAAUUCCAGGUGUAGCGGUGAAAUGCGUAGAGAUCUGGAGGAAUACCGAUGGCGAAGGCAGCCAUCUGGCCUAAUACUGACGCUGAGGUACGAAAGCAUGGGGAGCAAACAGGAUUAGAUACCCGCGUAGUCCCUGUCUCUUAUACAC